RNAcentral lists this ribosomal RNA (499 nucleotides) under uncultured Sphingobacteriales bacterium. Its description in RNAcentral is "bacterial SSU rRNA". It matches the Rfam family "Bacterial small subunit ribosomal RNA", at positions 887 to 1382 of the family's 1533-position model. Lineage: Bacteria; Pseudomonadati; Bacteroidota; Sphingobacteriia; Sphingobacteriales. The record is from RNAcentral.
CGCCAGCCCGCUCAGAAACUCAAAGGAAUUGACGGGGGCCCGCACAAGCGGUGGAGCACGUGGUUUAAUUCGAUGCAAACCGAAGAACCUUACCUGGGCUCAAAUGUAUGUUGACGUAUUCUGAAAGGGAUACUUCUUCGGACAAUAUACAAGGUGCUGCAUGGUUGUCGUCAGCUCGUGCCGUGAGGUGUCGGGUUAAGUCCCCAUAACGAGCGCAACCCCUAUCAUUAGUUGCCAUCAGGUCAAGCUGGGGACUCUAAUGAAACUGCCUACGCAAGUAGUGAGGAAGGUGGGGAUGACGUCAAAUCAGCACGGCCCUUACGUCCAGGGCUACACACGUGCUACAAUGGCCGGUACAAAGGGCAGCUACCUGGUGACAGGAUGCUAAUCUCAAAAGCCGGUCUCAGUUCGGAUCGGAGUCUGCAACCCGACUCCAUGAAGCUGGAAUCGCUAGUAAUCGCGCAUCAGCCAUGGCGCGGUGAAUACGUUCCCGGGCCUU